UCUCCUCUCAACCCUUCCGAACCCUCGCUCCGCCUCAUGUGCACUAAAUUAGGCAUGCUUUCGUUCAACACUACAUAUGGCAAGUAAUUACUCAUAAAAAGCGGAGCUCGGCCACUCGAAUUAGACUGGAAUCAUACCGUUCAGCCAUUUGCUGGAGUUCCGGCGCAGUAAAUCGAAGGUUUCGAGCAUAGUCAGCGCCUGGCGUUGGAGGAUCUUUUUUAAGAGGCGAUUUAUCGACGUUUUAGGACCUAACAUCGAGAAAGGUUUUCGAGGUACAUUUUCGCGAUUUUCAUUGAAUUGAUAUUAGCUUCAAUCGCACUGCUACAUGUCGAAUCACAACAUAUCAAGUUGAUCUACUAACUAGAUCAAUUGGAAGGUCAUCCUCAACAGAAAUUCAACAGUAAGCAUCAAAGUAUCGGAGUUGCUAGGGUCAGGGAAAUCAAUGCUGCAGAAACUGAGCUAUGAAUUUGAUGAAAACAUGAUUUUGUGAGUAAAUGGAAAGUAAUUAUGGUCUAUCCAUUACAGCAUCAUGUGUUGUGUUACACAUGCGUUGCAGUGUCUGGUCCAAGAAUAUCCUUCAGCAUCAAUCUGCAUAAGUACAACCGAACUGCGUCUCUGAAAAAUAUUUGAAAUUCUCGGAUUCCUGUCUGGUCUUUUUACAUGGAUGUCUUUUAGGGACAAAAAUAACAAAAAUGGAAGACUGAAAAGUUAGGGUCUGGAGGAGUAGGGACUUGGAUUGAUCCAAGAUAUUUCCGUCGGUCUGCAACACAAAUUAUAGAUCUGGAGGAUCUGUAAUAAGCGCACAAAUGCAGUAGGAUCUAGAGGAUUAGCGUACAAAUGCAGA
This is a non-coding RNA of Salvia hispanica, 844 nucleotides long. The record is from RefSeq and is a predicted model, not a curated record. Lineage: Eukaryota; Viridiplantae; Streptophyta; Magnoliopsida; Lamiales; Lamiaceae.